Oryzias melastigma (Indian medaka) is the source of this 395-nucleotide long non-coding RNA. RefSeq lists it as uncharacterized. The transcript is spliced from 2 exons. The record is from RefSeq and is a predicted model, not a curated record. Lineage: Eukaryota; Metazoa; Chordata; Actinopteri; Beloniformes; Adrianichthyidae.
UAAAAAGUAUUCAAGGGGUAUUGUUCACAUUACACAAUUUAUUCAACUACAUUUCCUCCACAAAAUUAGUUGAACAGAUAUCCCCAAAUUUUUAAGUUUUCUAAAAGUAAUUAUUUAAAAUAUUUUGGCAACUUAAUUUUUCCUUACAAAAAAAUACUUUCACAGAACAACAGAGUAAUUUAAUUCCAAACAACUCAAUUUUAAUACAUUUAUUCAAACUAAAAUGUCAGACACGCCCAUUCUGUAACCGACCUGAACAAGUCUAAACUUGUUCUCCACACGCACGAGGAGCUGCCUCGACGGAGAAUCCUUGCUCCAAGAUAAAAUAAAAGAGAGGUGAUUUUGAAGGGGUGGAUUGUCCAUUCCCGGAGGAGUUCAUCCAACCCCAGAGCAAA